GGGUCAGUAGGUUGGUCGUGCCACCGGUACGUACUGGUCUCACUGAUUCCUCCUUCCUGAAGUACCGUAAUGCCAUUAAUUUGGUGUUGCGGGGAAACAGGACUGUUACUUUGAAAAAAUUAGAGUGUUUAGAGCAAGCUAACGCUUGAAUACAUUAGCAUGGAAUAAUGAAAUAGGACGAUCGAUCCUAUUUUGUUGGUUUCUAGGAUUGACGUA
Molecule: ribosomal RNA, 216 nt
Filed under: Glomeromycotina sp.
Lineage: Eukaryota; Fungi; Glomeromycota
Description: partial small subunit ribosomal RNA
Rfam family: Eukaryotic small subunit ribosomal RNA (bases 40-216)
Source: RNAcentral